Molecule: long non-coding RNA, 434 nt
Filed under: Carica papaya (papaya)
Lineage: Eukaryota; Viridiplantae; Streptophyta; Magnoliopsida; Brassicales; Caricaceae
Description: long non-coding RNA (CPAP_LNC007717)
Source: RNAcentral
GUUAAAACGAAUGGAACAACGAAGGACACUAAAUUGAUAUGUUUGAUGCUAAUCAAUAAGAAAUGGAUAUGGAGGAUGGAAAUGGAAAUAAAGACUUCAAAUAAUGAAACAAAAGAAAAGAGAUGAAACACAAAGGAUAUAACUUGAUUUAGAGCCUAAGCUCUGAUACCAAACUGAUAUGAACUAGGGGUAUAUUAAACUCGAGACCCAAUAUCUUUGCACUUAGAAGCAACCCCUUGGAAAGCUAAAUCAGAUUUACCAAGUCCUUGACCCAAUUCAAUUCGUGAAAGAGAACUUUAAAAUAAAUUCGUAACCCAAAUUUAACAUUUAAAGAUAACCUUGGAAUAAACUACUCACAAAGUAAUUAGCUUUGCUCGUAGGAACCCUGAUUCAAACAAGAAUCAGAAUAAGAGAAAAACCUCUCUUAAGAAACC